This 4999-nucleotide small RNA is filed under the name Pan troglodytes (chimpanzee). RNAcentral describes it as "retained intron". Lineage: Eukaryota; Metazoa; Chordata; Mammalia; Primates; Hominidae. The record is from RNAcentral.
AGGCCUGCCCCCAACAGGGAGGGGUGGCCUCUCUUCCACCACUAUGUUCAGCACAGUGCCAAGAACACAGCCUCCUCCUCCUGCUCCUUAGUCUCACCUGCAGGUCUGUCUCUCCUUGCAUUUCCUCUGCCCCCUCUUAAGUGGCCCCUGCAGUGUUGGCCUCCAGCCCCAUUGCAUCCUGUCCCCAGGUAUGACAUGGAGAGCACAGACAAUGGGGCUUCCAACUCAGAGAAAAACAAGCCCCUGGAGCAGUCUGUGGAAGACCUCAGCAAGGGUCCACCCUCCUCUGUGCCCAAAAGCCGCCACCUGACCAUCAAGCUGACCCCAGCCCACAGCAGGAAGGCCCUGCGGAAUUCCCGCAUCGUCAGCCAGAAGGACGACGUCCACGUCUGUAUUAUGUGCCUACGCGCCAUCAUGAACUACCAGUCUGGCUUCAGCCUUGUCAUGAACCACCCAGCCUGUGUCAAUGAGAUUGCUCUGAGCCUCAACAACAAGAACCCCAGAACCAAGGCUCUGGUGCUGGAGCUGCUGGCGGCCGUGUGCUUGGUGCGGGGAGGACAUGACAUCAUCCUUGCAGCCUUUGACAACUUCAAGGAGGUGUGUGGGGAGCAGCACCGCUUUGAAAAGCUGAUGGAAUAUUUCCGGAAUGAGGACAGCAACAUCGACUUCAUGGUGGCCUGCAUGCAGUUCAUCAACAUUGUGGUACAUUCGGUGGAGAACAUGAACUUCCGUGUCUUCCUGCAAUAUGAGUUCACCCACUUGGGCCUGGACCUGUACUUGGAGAGGCUUCGGCUCACCGAGAGUGACAAGCUGCAGGUGCAGAUCCAGGCGUACCUGGACAAUAUUUUUGAUGUGGGGGCGCUGCUGGAGGACACAGAGACCAAGAACGCUGUGCUGGAGCACAUGGAGGAACUGCAGGAGCAAGUGGCGCUGGUGAGAGUGGGUCCUGACCCCAGCCCAGCACAUCAUAGGCCCACAGGGCACACGGGCCACAGGGCCACGCAAGCAUGGGCACUGGGCAGCAGACAGUGUUAUAGUUGUGCAUUGGAGGUGCUGCCUGCCUGGCCCCAGAGCCUGGCCUGAAUCCAAAGCCUGAAUCUGUUAGGUGUCUUUCUCAAUGAGUGUGGGUGAGCACCCUCACUGACAGGCCCCUCCUCUACCCAGGCUCAGACCCCAGGUGAACUGAAAUGGGUGCCUGGGGCCCCUCCCAGCUCAGUCUCCUCCUCUCCCUCCACCUCCCGCAUCACUGGUACCUUGGUUUCCUCUCCUUAUUUGCUUGGGUUCGAGUGCCAGGCUCGGCCCACCCUUGGCACCUGGGCUGAGCGGAUCUGGAAGCCUCCCCCAGUCUUCCAGGCAGGCAUGCCUGAUGCCGCCCCCUCACCGGCGGUGCCAGUGCCGGGCUGCGGGUCGGGGCUCACCAUGUGCUGGUGCUACAGCUGACAGAGCGGCUUCGGGACGCGGAGAACGAAUCCAUGGCCAAGAUUGCAGAACUGGAAAAACAGCUAAGCCAGGCGCGCAAGGAGUUGGAGACCCUGCGGGUGAGGCUGGGGCGGGUGGUAGGCCAGGCGCCCAAGAACAGGCCAGCUGAGGCUUCUAGGCUUGACAUCUCCCUCCACCCCGGGAAGAGGAUGGGGGCUUGGUGCCAAGGAGCCUGCUGGUGGGCACUGACCCCUCCCGUGGGGUUCGUAGGAGCGCUUCAGCGAAUCGACCGCCAUGGGCGCCUCCAGGCGUCCCCCAGAGCCUGAGAAAGCGCCUCCCGCUGCCCCGACGCGGCCCUCGGCCCUGGAGCUGAAGGUGGAGGAGCUGGAGGAGAAGGGGUUAAUCCGUAUCCUGCGGGGGCCGGGGGAUGCUGUCUCCAUCGAGAUCCUCCCCGUCGCUGUGGCAACUCCGAGCGGCGGUUAUGCUCCGACUCCGGGGGUGCCGACCGGCUCCCCCAGCCCAGGUGCGCAGGAGCUUCAGGCUGGCGGGGAUGCGGGGUAGGGUCUGGAGGGGAGCCCAGGGGCAUCUGUGGCGGGCAGAGUUGGGCGAAGGAGGUUUGGAUUGUAGGCUCGGCUCAGGUAGGAGCGCAUGCGUAGAGCGGAGAGGCGGAGAGGGGCCCACCCAAGCCAAGGAGCUGACUCGCGCCUCCCCCACGCCGCGCCCUCGCUGGCUCAGAUCUCGCACCUGCAGCAGAGCCGGCUCCCGGAGCAGCGCCGCCGCCGCCGCCCCCACUGCCCGGCCUCCCCUCCCCGCAGGAAGCCCCGCCCUCUGCGCCCCCACAGGCCCCGCCUCUCCCUGGCAGCCCGGAGCCCCCGCCUGCGCCGCCGCUGCCCGGAGACCUGCCGCCCCCACCCCCGCCACCGCCACCGCCACCACCUCCGGGCACUGACGGGCCGGUGCCGCCGCCGCCGCCGCCGCCGCCUCCCGGAGGUCCUCCUGAUGCCCUAGGAAGACGCGACUCAGAAUUGGGCCCAGGAGUGAAGGCCAAGAAGCCCAUCCAGACUAAGUUCCGAAUGCCACUCUUGAACUGGGUGGCACUGAAACCCAGCCAGAUCACCGGCACUGUCUUCACAGAGCUCAAUGAUGAGAAGGUGCUGCAGGAGCUAGACAUGAGUGAUUUUGAGGAACAGUUCAAGACCAAGUCCCAAGGCCCCAGCCUGGACCUCAGCGCUCUCAAGAGUAAGGCAGCCCAGAAGGCCCCCAGCAAGGCGACACUCAUUGAGGCCAACCGGGCCAAGAACUUGGCCAUCACCCUGCGGAAGGGCAACCUGGGGGCCGAGCGCAUCUGCCAAGCCAUUGAGGCGUACGACCUGCAGGCUCUGGGCCUGGACUUCCUGGAGCUGCUGAUGCGCUUCCUGCCCACAGAGUAUGAGCGCAGCCUCAUCACCCGCUUUGAGCGGGAGCAGCGGCCAAUGGAGGAGCUGUCAGAGGAGGACCGCUUCAUGCUAUGCUUCAGCCGCAUCCCGCGCCUGCCGGAGCGCAUGACCACACUCACCUUCCUGGGCAACUUCCCGGACACAGCCCAGCUGCUCAUGCCGGUGUGGGCGGAGCGGGCAGGGCGGUGUGACUUGGGAGGGGAUGGGCAGGAGGCAACUCCCAGCCUGGGCUGCGGCAGGGAACCUGGGAGUACUUGAGCCUCCAGAUGGAGGAGGCUCCAACUUAUCUUACCUCCCCCAUCCCACCCCCAGCAACUGAAUGCCAUCAUUGCAGCCUCAAUGUCCAUCAAGUCCUCUGACAAACUCCGCCAGAUCCUGGAGAUUGUCCUGGCCUUUGGCAACUACAUGAACAGUAGCAAGCGUGGGGCAGCCUAUGGCUUCCGGCUCCAGAGCCUGGAUGCGGUGAGGAGGGGCCCCUGGCUUGGGGACUGGGGCUGGGGACUGGCUGGUGGCCUGUGGCUUACAAUGGGUCCUUGUGCAGCUGUUGGAGAUGAAGUCGACUGAUCGCAAGCAGACGCUGCUGCACUACCUGGUGAAGGUCAUUGCUGAGAAGUACCCGCAACUCACAGGCUUCCACAGCGACCUGCACUUCCUGGACAAGGCGGGCUCAGUGUCCCUGGACAGUGUCCUGGCGGAUGUGCGCUCCCUGCAGCGAGGCCUAGAGUUGACACAGAGAGAGUUUGUGCGGCAGGAUGACUGCAUGGUGCUCAAGGAGUUCCUGAGGGCCAACUCGCCCACCAUGGACAAGCUGCUGGCAGACAGCAAGACGGCUCAGGAGGCCUUUGAGUCCGUGGUGGAGUACUUCGGAGAGAACCCCAAGACCACAUCCCCAGGCCUGUUCUUCUCCCUCUUUAGCCGCUUCAUUAAGGCCUACAAGAAAGCUGAGCAGGAGGUGGAACAGUGGAAAAAAGAAGCCGCUGCCCAGGAGGCAGGCGCUGAUACCCCGGGCAAAGGGGAGCCCCCAGCACCCAAGUCACCGCCAAAGGCCCGGCGGCCACAGAUGGACCUCAUCUCUGAGCUGAAACGGAGGCAGCAGAAGGAGCCACUCAUUUAUGAGAGCGACCGUGACGGGGCCAUUGAAGACAUCAUCACAGGUAAGGGCUUGGCCAGUCCUUGGUCUUAUCCUCAGUCUGUCCUUCUAUGCUUUCUUCUGACCCAAUCCCCUACCCUCUGGGGGACUGGCUGCCACACUGCUUCUUGCUACCUUUUCUGUUUUUCUUUCCUUUUUCCUUUCUCUACUCCCCUUCACCUGCCCCACCCCCACUCAGUGAUCAAGACGGUGCCCUUCACGGCCCGCACCGGCAAGCGGACAUCCCGGCUCCUCUGUGAGGCCAGCCUGGGAGAAGAGAUGCCCCUCUAGCCCCUCAGGUACCCAGAUGACCUGGCCUCUGAUACCACCCUGCCCACAGCCCCUGGGACCCUUGGGGGAACUGAGGCAUGCUGCCUUCUCCUGGGCCAGUGGAUGGCUGGGAUGUGAUUUGUGGGGUGGAGGGGGUCUGGCAAACAUAAACGGUACCCCUGCCAUGUGCACACAAUCUGAGUCCUUAGGAGGCUAAGCUUUGUGCCCUGGAGCCAUGCUCCCAGCUCUGGGCGGGCUCCUGAAUGGUAAAUGUGUCUCCUUCGGCUGCCAGAUCUGCGGAACCAGCCCUACAUCCGCGCAGACACAGGCCGCCGCAGUGCCCGUCGGCGUCCCCCGGGCCCCCCACUGCAGGUCACCUCCGACCUCUCGCUGUAGCCGCUAUUUCUGCAGGUGGAUUCUGCAGGGGUGUGGGGCCGUGGACAGGCUGAGGCUCAAGGAAGGUGGUCCUCAGCUCGGCUGGCCGGGCAGCCCCUCCUCCGCUGUGGCCCGCCUCAAACGGGCUGGUGCAUCCUCCUCUUGGCCACAGAGGGCAGCAUCGCCCGCCCCUUCCCCCAAAUGCUGCUUGCAGCACCCACCCUAAAGCCCCCUCCAAAUAGCCAUACUUAGCCUCAGCAGGAGCCUGGCCUGUAACUUAUAAAGUGCACCUCGCCCCCGCAAGCCCCAGCCCCGAGGACCGUCCAUGGACCUUAUUUUUAUACGAGAUUAAUAAAGAUGUUUGCAAAAG